RNAcentral lists this ribosomal RNA (460 nucleotides) under uncultured bacterium. RNAcentral describes it as "partial 16S ribosomal RNA". It matches the Rfam family "Bacterial small subunit ribosomal RNA", at positions 338 to 795 of the family's 1533-position model. The record is from RNAcentral.
CCUACGGGUGGCAGCAGUGAGGAAUAUUGGUCAAUGGACGAAAGUCUGAACCAGCCAAGUCGCGUGAAGGAAGACUGCCCUAUGGGUUGUAAACUUCUUUUGUACGAGAGUAAACUGUAAUACGUGUAGUCUUCUGAAAGUACCAUACGAAUAAGGAUCGGCUAACUCCGUGCCCGCAGCCGCGGUAAUACGGAGGAUCCGAGCGUUAUCCGGAUUUAUUGGGUUUAAAGGGUGCGUAGGCGGAUUGUUAAGUUAGAGGUGAAAGGUUCGGGCUUAACCGUGGAAUUGCCGUUGAUACUGGUAGUCUAGAGAAGAGUUGAGGUAGGCGGAAUGCGUGGUGUAGCGGUGAAAUGCUUAGAGAUCAUACAGAACUCCGAUUGCGAAGGCAGUUCACUAAACUGUAUCUGACACUGAGGCACGAAAGCGUGGGUAGCAAACAGGAUUAGAUACCCCAGUAGUC